CGUAGGGUCCGAGCGUUGUCCGGAAUUAUUGGGCGUAAAGAGCUCGUAGGCGGUUUGUCGCGUCUGCUGUGAAAUCCCGAGGCUCAACCUCGGGCCUGCAGUGGGUACGGGCAGACUUGAGUGGUGUAGGGGAGACUGGAAUUCCUGGUGUAGCGGUGGAAUGCGCAGAUAUCAGGAGGAACACCGAUGGCGAAGGCAGGUCUCUGGGCACUUACUGACGCUGAGGAGCGAAAGCGUGGGGAGCGAACAGGAUUAGAUACCCUGGUAGUCCACGCCGUAAACGUUGGGCGCUAGAUGUGGGGACCUUUCCACGGUUUCCGUGUCGUAGCUAACGCAUUAAGCGCCCCGCCUGGGGAGUACGGCCGCAAGGCUA
RNAcentral lists this ribosomal RNA (373 nucleotides) under uncultured organism. Its description in RNAcentral is "bacterial SSU rRNA". It matches the Rfam family "Bacterial small subunit ribosomal RNA", at positions 526 to 896 of the family's 1533-position model. The record is from RNAcentral.